GCGGGAGUAGCUCAGUUGGUAGAGCGCAACCUUGCCAAGGUUGAGGUCGCGAGUUCGUUCGAGCCUCGUCUCCCGCUCCA
This 80-nucleotide transfer RNA is filed under the name Paraburkholderia madseniana. RNAcentral describes it as "tRNA-Gly". It matches the Rfam family "tRNA". From Rfam's summary of the family: Transfer RNA (tRNA) molecules are approximately 80 nucleotides in length. Their secondary structure includes four short double-helical elements and three loops (D, anti-codon, and T loops). Lineage: Bacteria; Pseudomonadati; Pseudomonadota; Betaproteobacteria; Burkholderiales; Burkholderiaceae. The record is from RNAcentral.